RNAcentral lists this small RNA (468 nucleotides) under Arabidopsis thaliana (thale cress). Its description in RNAcentral is "ATSL287350". Lineage: Eukaryota; Viridiplantae; Streptophyta; Magnoliopsida; Brassicales; Brassicaceae. The record is from RNAcentral.
UUAUUGGAUGAAAAUAGUACAAGCAUAUAUGCUUCAAGCACUUUUGGAGAUUGAGACACAAUGUUUCCACAAGUCAUCACUCUUCUUCAAGUAUUCUGUUUCGUGGGCAAUUAACAUGGGUUUAUCUGCAAUAUACUUAAUAAGCGUAUCGUGACACAUUUUUCCUUCUUUGACGAGAUCGUUGCAACAAGGAUCAGGCAUGGUUCCAUUUUCAAAGACAGCAGCGACUAUAUCCAACGCACACUUAGGAGUGAUUUAACCAAGACAAGUAUUCCAUAAUAAGUUUGCUUCAGCUUCUUCGACUGAGAAAGCCGGAACAAACGCACACACCAAAGCUACAACAAUGAAUAACAUAGUAAUCUGAGAAUUAAAUUUAGACAUAUCUACUUAUGAUUGAAAUAUACAAGAAAUAUUUUUAUUUUACGAAACAAAUUGGAAGAAAAAAUGAUUUGUAUUUAUUAUUUGAAA